Molecule: small nuclear RNA, 104 nt
Organism: Callithrix jacchus (white-tufted-ear marmoset)
Lineage: Eukaryota; Metazoa; Chordata; Mammalia; Primates; Cebidae
Source: Ensembl
GUGCUCGCUUCAGCAGCAUAUAUACUAAAAUUGGAAUGAUACAGAGAUUAGCAAGGCCCCUGCGCAAGGAUGACGUGCAAAUUCGUGAAGAGUUCCAUAUUUAA